Molecule: long non-coding RNA, 3216 nt
Organism: Cercocebus atys (sooty mangabey)
Lineage: Eukaryota; Metazoa; Chordata; Mammalia; Primates; Cercopithecidae
Exons: 3
Source: RefSeq, a predicted model, not a curated record
CAAUUAGCACUCUGUCAAAACGGACCAAUCAGCGCUUUGUAAAAUGGACCAAUCAGCUCUCUGUAAAACGGGCCAAUCGGUAGGAUGUGGGUGGGGGCCAGAUAAGGGAAUAAAAGCAGGCCACCAUAGCUAGCCCGGGCUACCUGCUUGGGCCCCCAUCCAGGCUGUGGAAGCUUUGUUCUUUUUCUUUUUGCAAUACAUCUUACUGCUGCUCACUCUUUGGGUUUGCAUAGCCUUAAUGAACUGUAACACUAACCAUGAAGGUCUGCAGUUUCACUCCUGAGGCCAGCGAGACCAUGAAUCCACCGGAAGGAAGGAACAACUCCAGACGCGCCACCUUUAAGAGCUGUAACACUCACUGCAGAGGUCUGCAGCUUCACUGCUGAAGUCAGUGAGACCACAAACCAAACUCCUGACACACCGUCUUUAAGAACCGUAACACUCACUGCGGGGGUCUGUGGCUUCGUUCUUGAAGUCAGCGAGACCAAGAACCCACCAAUUCUGGACACAAUAGUUGUUUGAAAAUAUUUCGGUUUCUAUUUCCUGAAGGCGGAUAUGUUGAUUCUCAAGUAAAUUCUAUACCUUUGCGUGUCUCAAAGGAAUCUCCUUGAAGACCAUUGUUUUUGAAAUGACUUGAAGAUGGCUCACAGCAGAAACCAGUUUGGCACUUGUCUGUUGGAUGAGAGUGAUCAGUUCCACUGGUUAUCUACAAGCUGACAGUGAGGCAUGAGGAACUCUGCAAAGGGAAGUAAAGAUGAUGGAAUGGAUGCUGGGCAGACAAGACCAACUGUGACUACUGGUACCCAAGUACCAGAUCAGAACUGGGGUUUUCUUACCUACCUGCGAUGAUCGAAUACUGAAUUUCAUUUUCCAUUCUCCCUGAUAACUUUUAAGUUAUAACAUUCCUUCCCCUUGCCCCUUGGUUCACCACCUCCUCCAUGCAGCUCCAAACAGUGCAGCUUCCCAGCUUCCCUUAAUCCCCUGAUAGAAGCCGAGAGACAGUUCUUUUUAAACAUUUCUAAAAGCUGCAACAUGCUCAUGUCUGAAUUCCCUGCAAAACAAAUUCAGAAGGCUGAAAUCAUUGUUCUCAGCAAAUUGGGUGAAAAUGGAGCAAAGGCAGAAGCUUUCAAACAAAGCCUCAGGAAAAAUGAGAAGAGACUGUAGAAUACUGAGUAUGUAAGUAGAACUCUGUAUUUCACACACUUCUCCCAGUAUCCAACCCUGAAGCUUGUGUGUUUCUUUUUUGUUUUUGUUUUUGUUUUUUUUUUCAUAGUUGUAGUUGCCAAAGCAAAGCAAUCACUCCAUUAAUUAUAAAGUAAGGGAAAAAAUGGGUAUCGAUCUUAACUAGUUCCCUUUUACUUGUUGAGUAUUAAUUGAAAGUUAUUCUUCUGAAGACACUUAAUUCUUUGGAGGCACUGUAGAAAAUAAUGUUUAAAUAUUCAUUCAGAGUUAAGUGAACUCAGUCAAGCUUUUAUAAACAGGAUAUUUUAAAAUUGGAACUGGAUUUUAUGUAAGUGACAAAAUGAUUUCUGAGUUCUCUUUAGUUCUCAUGGUACAAGAACUCACUUGCUGAUGUGCAUGUCUAGGGUGGUCAGAGUAUUUGUCCAAUUGGUGCGAAGACAAUGUGCUGCUCCCUUACCCAGAAAUGCCCCUUGUAAAAGCAACAUCCAUUCAUUCAUUUAUUGAUUGAUUCAGUCACUCCUGGGCACUGGGAUCUUGACUGUAAUACUGUUGGACACCAAUUGAGAUCUAAAAAUUAUCUGGGUAUAAGAAUAAUUUUUGGCUAAUGCUCAUAUAAUGCUGACUAUAUACAAUAUAUUGUUUGGAAUGCUUUAUGCACAUUAACUCAUUUAAUACUCAACAGAUUAUUAGAGGGAUACAAUCAUCAUCAUCUCCACUUUACAGUAGAGGAAACUGAGGUAUAGACAAGAGAAAUAACUUGCCCAGGUCACUCAUCUGGUGAGCAGCACAAGAUUUGGACCCAGGCAACCUAGCUUUGGAGUCUGUGCUCCUGACUGCUACUUUAUAGUGUGGCUAUUAAAAAUAUUUUUUUUUGUUUACAGUAACAUGUAAGGUGUCCUUUGGUGACUAUAAAAUAGUUCAGUUGAGAAUGUCUGUACUCACACAUUGGAAUAAUAACUGGAUACAGCUAGUAUAAGCAUACUUUCGUGCAAGAGAUAUGAUACAGUGGGCCUUUGAUAUUUAUCUACAAUUCAUUUUUUAAAAAAUUGGUAAAAACCUUUAUGUAGAAACAGCUAAAUCUGUUCAGUUCAGUUCUGGAUUGUGUUACUAUUACUUUUACCUUUUUAGUGGGUUUCAUGUAUGUUUAAAAGUAAGGAAUACCAGGUGUGCUAUCUAAGCUCCACCACUAAAUUAUAAAACCUACAAAGCAAAAUUGUACUUAGAAUUGUUUGUACAAUGGGGAUUAUAGUAAAAUGUGCUAAAAAAUCAGUAACGUGGGGGUAUCUCUCAUCUUUGCAGGGUCUUGUGAGGGUUAUAAGAUACCAUAGUCUCUUGACUUCAGGGCAUUCUACAGCCUAUUUCUUGAUGUAAUUUGGUGCCUAAUGUAGUGUCUGUUUCAUCACAGAAGUGUAAAGGACAUCAGUUGAAUGUGAAUGAAAGCGCCUGGCACAUACUAAAUUUCACUGGCUCUGAGAGCAAUUUUUUGUAUUUUAACUUCGGGAUAUGUCUCACAGUCAAUAGAAUGUUACAAUAGAUGUCAGCCAAAUGGCUGUUGAGAUGUAGUUGUCAUUGCUCAUAAAGCUGUGGACUUGGUCUUUAUUCCAAGGUCUUUCAAGGAAUGCAUGUAAAUGCAGGUUUGUGUUUGAAAACUUUCCAUUGAUACCUCUUGGUAAAGGUAGUUUCAGCACCAAGACUUGCAGGAUGGGUGUCAGUGGUUCCAAAUAAUACCUUCAGAGACGGUAGUGCAGCACUCUUUCAAGAAAUGCUAUAUUAUCACUGCAUUUGAUGGCACAGAGUGUGAUAUCAUAUGGGAAAAGAAAAAAUAGACAUUACCCAGUCUGAGUCAAAAAGAGAUUUAGCAGAGUUUAACACAGAUUUAAAGCAUUUUAAUUAAUACCGUAGAUAAUUUAUUUUACAUAUAUAUUACUUUUUGUGCACAAGAAUGGUACAUAAAAGUAUUUAGAUGAGUCUACAAAGCUCGUUAAAAUAAAAUGAUGAAUGGUUAGUGUAUUAGUUUGCUUUCACACUGCUAUA